GGUCAGCACAUCCCCAGCACUCUUGUGUGUCUGUGCAUCCCGGAGGAACAUCAGGGGUGGUGAUGGUGACCAAAACAUCUGUCAAGAAAAAUCAUGUGCCUUUGCUUAUCUCUGCAAUGCAGAAUAUCUAGUAAGUUUCCGAGGAAUCUGUGGAUGUCAGUUCCCUGGAGCAUAGCUGGCAGUCUGUCAUGGUAUCGAGCUAGUGCUUCCCGGUGGCAACCCAUUACUGCUGAGUCAUUCCCACAGAAACAGAGUGUUUCAAGGAAAUUAAUUUUCUAUAUCCUUGGUGUACAUCGAGAAAAUAGAAAGUUGAAAAACUCCAAGGGAUUUCCCCAAAAGCCUCCAAAUAAAUUUUAAAAUUAAACAGAUGUUACAUGAUCACCAUUAAAACAAAGGCUCUUGUUCAGUUCCUUCCAGAAGACAUUAGGAAACAAGAUGACAUUUUGGAUCCAUGUCUGGUUCUUUAAAUCAGCUGACCUGAAAUGCAUUUCCUUCAGAUGGUUACAGGAUGCAGUUCCUGGUCAGAACACUGAGACACAAUAAAUGAUCGGGGACUUUAACUGACUUUAAUAAAGAUGCUGGAAUGUUAA
Molecule: long non-coding RNA, 590 nt
Organism: Varanus komodoensis (Komodo dragon)
Lineage: Eukaryota; Metazoa; Chordata; Lepidosauria; Squamata; Varanidae
Exons: 3
Source: RefSeq, a predicted model, not a curated record